UGGGUUGUGGCUCAGUGGUAGAGCUCUUGCCCAGCAUGUGUGAGGCACUGGGUUCAAUUCUCAGCACCACAU
Non-coding RNA from Ictidomys tridecemlineatus (thirteen-lined ground squirrel), 72 nucleotides. The record is from Rfam. NCBI's taxonomy places the organism in Eukaryota, Metazoa, Chordata, Mammalia, Rodentia, Sciuridae.